Molecule: ribosomal RNA, 447 nt
Filed under: uncultured archaeon
Lineage: Archaea
Description: partial 16S ribosomal RNA
Rfam family: Archaeal small subunit ribosomal RNA
Source: RNAcentral
GCGCAGCAGUCGCGAAAACUCCGCAAUACGCGAAAGCGUGACGGGGCCAUCCCGAGUGCCGUCCGCUGAGGAUGGCUUUUCCCUAGUGUAGAUAGCUGGGGGAAUAAGGAGAGGGCAAGUCUGGUGUCAGCCGCCGCGGUAAUACCAGCUCCCCGAGUGGUUGGGACGAUUAUUGGGUCUGAAGCGUCCGUAGCCGGCCGGAAAAGUUCCCCGUUAAAUCUGGCGAUCCAAUCGUUGGGCUGCGGGGAAUACUCUUCGGCGUGGGGGCGAGGGAGGUCGGCGGUAGUCCCGGGGUAGGGGCGAAAUCCUAUAAUCCCGGGAGGACCACCAGUGGCGAAGGCGGCCGACUAAAACGCGCCCGACGGUGAGGGACGAAAGCUGGGGGAGCGAACGGGAUUAGAUAUGAAGUUGAGUGUUUACCAGCUUCACUAGAAACCCCGGUAGUCC